This 71-nucleotide non-coding RNA is filed under the name Schistosoma mansoni. Lineage: Eukaryota; Metazoa; Platyhelminthes; Trematoda; Strigeidida; Schistosomatidae. The record is from RNAcentral.
CCAUUAACUCCUCCUGUAGCUCCGCCUGAGGCUACUGCCGGUCUCAAGCCCGGGUCAAGGAGGAUGGUUGG